GAGAGUAAUACCUUAUACGCCCUUUGGGGGAAAGAUUUAUCGGAGAAGGAUUAGCCCGCGUUAGAUUAGGUAGUUGGUGGGGUAAUGGCCUACCAAGCCUACGAUCUAUAGCUGGUUUGAGAGGAUGAUCAGCCACACUGGGACUGAGACACGGCCCAGACUCCUACGGGAGGCAGCAGUAGGGAAUCUUAGACAAUGGGGGCAACCCUGAUCUAGCCAUGCCGCGUGUGUGAUGAAGGCCCUAGGGUCGUAAAGCACUUUCGCCAGAGAUGAUAAUGACAGUAUCUGGUAAAGAAACCCCGGCUAACUCCGUGCCAGCAGCCGCGGUAAUACGGAGGGGGUUAGCGUUGUUCGGAAUUACUGGGCGUAAAGCGCACGUAGGCGGAUUAGUAAGUUAGAGGUGAAAUCCCAGGGCUCAACCCUGGAACUGCCUUUAAUACUGCUAGUCUUGAGUUCGAGAGAGGUAAGUGGAAUUCCGAGUGUAGAGGUGAAAUUCGUAGAUAUUCGGAGGAACACCAGUGGCGAAGGCGGCUUACUGGCUCGAUACUGACGCUGAGGUGCGAAAGUGUGGGGAGCAAACAGGAUUAGAUACCCUGGUAGUCCACACCGUAAACGAUGAAUGCCAGACGUCAGCAAGUAUACUUGUUGGUGUCA
RNAcentral lists this ribosomal RNA (654 nucleotides) under uncultured Paracoccaceae bacterium. Its description in RNAcentral is "bacterial SSU rRNA". It matches the Rfam family "Bacterial small subunit ribosomal RNA", at positions 159 to 848 of the family's 1533-position model. Lineage: Bacteria; Pseudomonadati; Pseudomonadota; Alphaproteobacteria; Rhodobacterales; Paracoccaceae. The record is from RNAcentral.